AUUGAACGCUGGCGGCAGGCCUAACACAUGCAAGUCGAACGAGUGGCGGACGGGUGAGUAAUGUCUGGGAAACUGCCUGAUGGAGGGGGAUAACUACUGGAAACGGUAGCUAAUACCGCAUACCAUCGGAUGUGCCCAGAUGGGAUUAGCUAGUAGGGGGGGUAACGGCUCACCUAGGCGACGAUCCCUAGCUGGUCUUAGAGGGUGACCCGGCAAACUGGGACUGAGAAACGGGUCCGACCUCCAAGGGAGGGCGGAGUGGGGAAUAUUUGAACAAGGGCGAAAGUCUGAAGGCGCCAAGGCGGGUGUGUGAAGGAGGGCUUCGGGUUUGAAAAGUCUUUUAGUCGGGAAGAGGUACCCGCAGAAGAAGCACCGGCUAACUCCGUGCCAGCAGCCGCGGUAAUAC
Molecule: ribosomal RNA, 406 nt
Filed under: uncultured bacterium
Lineage: Bacteria
Description: partial 16S ribosomal RNA
Rfam family: Bacterial small subunit ribosomal RNA
Source: RNAcentral